This 1381-nucleotide long non-coding RNA is filed under the name Homo sapiens (human). Its description in RNAcentral is "HSALNT0143133". The record is from RNAcentral. Lineage: Eukaryota; Metazoa; Chordata; Mammalia; Primates; Hominidae.
GCUAAACAGCCGAUCAAAAAGCCAGUGAAAUGUGAUUCGUAUUAUCUGUACUGGCCCAGCCUCUUCAGACACAAGCUGCACUCACAUGUUCAAGGUCGUUUUUGAUGUAAGAAAAUGCAAAAGAUCCCAUGAUUCUUUCACUACAAGUAGGAGUUUUAUCAUCAAGAUUCUUCACUGGUCCCUGGGCAAUCAGUUGUUUAUCAAAGCAAAGGAUAAAAAGAGACAUUUCAGAGAACAACUAGAAAACGUCCCAGGCCAACCUGCAGCUCACCAUCCAGAGUGUCUCCAACAGAGCAUCCUCACGGCUCCAAAAUGCUUCUUCCUUGGUGGUUAAAGAAAUACUCCACCAUCUGCCAACCUGACUACCGGAUCCAGAAAUUUACCAUUGCCUUCAACUCUUCCUUCUUUCAUUUGCAUUUCUCCUAAGUAGCUCUUGAAUCCACCUGUCUUCCUCUCUAUCUCUGUGGUCACUUCCCUGAGCCCAGGCCACCAUCAUCUGUCACCUAGACAACAACCACCACUUGCUAACUGGAUGUCCAGUUAAGCCACAGUCUAAUCCAAAUACACACUGUCACGGUGGAAUUAUCUAGAAGCCAAAAAGGCUUCAAGGGCUUCAGCAGAGUCCUUUAAUGUAGUAAACAAGGCUACAAUCUGCAUUCUUUAUAAGAAGCCAGUCAUUGUAAAUAUGGUGCUUUCCUGUGUUCUGCAAGUCCUUCUAGAGAAUUAUUAAACUUGAUGGGCGAGGGGGUCAUAGAAAACCCCAAAUUUGUGGUCGGCUGGGCAGAAGUGUGAGGAAUCUGAGGACCCCACUUGUGGCUGGUGACUGAAUUUGGGGCAGUCUCAUGGGACUGAACUCUUAGCUUGUGGGGUCUACACUAACACUAGGUGUGUCAUAACUGAAUAGGACAGCAGCUGCAGUCAGAGAAUUGAUGUUGGAACAUAAAUGCAUUCUUCGUGCUGGGGAGAGCUUGAGUGUAGAUGCUACUUUUACCUCCUUAGCAGCUAACAGAGUCUAGCACAGAGGAGGCUUGUCAUACCCCUUUCCUGAAUGAAUGAAUGAAAGAACAAACUAAUAAAUGGAGGCUGGAGUGUUUUGCAGGACUCAUCUGCAGCAGUCAAGGAUGUUUAUGAAUGGAAGAAUGGCACCAGGCGUGAAUCAAUUAGUCCUACAAAAACCAUAAAUGGCUGAUGGGUUGCAACUCAAGAGAGGCAGCAACUGCUUCCCCACCCUGCCAUUCCGUCAGGCUUUGCCCAUCCCGUUAGUGUUCUCUAGGGAGAUGAAAACCAUAUUAUGCAAGGAAUAAAUAUUUCAAGCAAGUUGUCUGUUUCCUUCUCUGCUGUUUUGUAUUUGGUCGAAAAUUAACGCUAAGAAAAAUACUCA